This 228-nucleotide ribosomal RNA is filed under the name uncultured bacterium. RNAcentral describes it as "partial 16S ribosomal RNA". It matches the Rfam family "Bacterial small subunit ribosomal RNA", at positions 1264 to 1500 of the family's 1533-position model. The record is from RNAcentral.
GAUGCGAAUCUCGAAAGCCUGUCUCGGUUCGGAUUGGAGGCUGAAACCCGCCUCCAUGAAGUUGGAUUCGCUAGUAAUCGCGCAUCAGCCAUGGCGCGGUGAAUGCGUUCCCGGGCCUUGUACACACCGCCCGUCAAGCCAUGGGAGCCGGGGGUGCCUGAAGUUCGUGACCGCAAGGAGCGACCUAGGGCAAAACUGGUGACUGGGGCUAAGUCGUAACAAGGUACC